CCCUUAGAUGUUCUGGGCCGCACGCGCGCUACACUGAUGCAUUCAACAAGUUCUACCUUGGCCGAGAGGCCUGGGAAAUCUUUCAAAUAUGUAUCGUGAUAGGGAUAGAUUAUUGCAAUUAUUAAUCUUGAACGAGGAAUUCCUAGUAAAUGCAGAUCAUCAUUCUGCGUUGAUUACGUCCCUGCCCUUUGUACACACCGCCCGUCGCACCUACCGAUUGAAUGAUCCGGUGAAGCCUCGGGAUUGUGCCCAGAGAACUUUAUUGUGAUUUGGGUGUGAGAACUUGUCUAAACCUUAUCAUUUAGAGGAAGGAGAAGUCGUAACA
This 325-nucleotide ribosomal RNA is filed under the name uncultured eukaryote. RNAcentral's name for it is "partial 18S ribosomal RNA". It matches the Rfam family "Eukaryotic small subunit ribosomal RNA", at positions 1470 to 1796 of the family's 1831-position model. The record is from RNAcentral.